UACAGAGGACGCAAGCGUUGUCCGGAUUCAUUGGGCGUAAAGGGUCCGUAGGUGGCGGGGUAAGUCGGACGUGAAAUCCCGGGGCUCAACCCCGGAACUGCAUUCGAUACUGCCUUGCUCGAGUACUGGAGAGGCGACUGGAAUUUACGGUGUAGCAGUGAAAUGCGUAGAUAUCGUAAGGAAGACCAGUGGCGAAGGCGAGUCUCUGGACAGUUACUGACACUGAGGCACGAAGGCCAGGGGAGCAAACGGG
This 253-nucleotide ribosomal RNA is filed under the name uncultured bacterium. Its description in RNAcentral is "partial 16S ribosomal RNA". It matches the Rfam family "Bacterial small subunit ribosomal RNA", at positions 524 to 776 of the family's 1533-position model. The record is from RNAcentral.